RNAcentral lists this ribosomal RNA (1372 nucleotides) under uncultured bacterium. RNAcentral describes it as "bacterial SSU rRNA". It matches the Rfam family "Bacterial small subunit ribosomal RNA", at positions 28 to 1381 of the family's 1533-position model. The record is from RNAcentral.
GAUGAACGCUGGCGGCGUGCCUAAUACAUGCAAGUCGAGCGAACGGACGAGAAGCUUGCUUCUCUGAUGUUAGCGGCGGACGGGUGAGUAACACGUGGAUAACCUACCUAUAAGACUGGGAUAACUUCGGGAAACCGGAGCUAAUACCGGAUAAUAUUUUGAACCGCAUGGUUCAAAAGUGAAAGACGGUCUUGCUGUCACUUAUAGAUGGAUCCGCGCUGCAUUAGCUAGUUGGUAAGGUAACGGCUUACCAAGGCAACGAUGCAUAGCCGACCUGAGAGGGUGAUCGGCCACACUGGAACUGAGACACGGUCCAGACUCCUACGGGAGGCAGCAGUAGGGAAUCUUCCGCAAUGGGCGAAAGCCUGACGGAGCAACGCCGCGUGAGUGAUGAAGGUCUUCGGAUCGUAAAACUCUGUUAUUAGGGAAGAACAUAUGUGUAAGUAACUGUGCACAUCUUGACGGUACCUAAUCAGAAAGCCACGGCUAACUACGUGCCAGCAGCCGCGGUAAUACGUAGGUGGCAAGCGUUAUCCGGAAUUAUUGGGCGUAAAGCGCGCGUAGGCGGUUUUUUAAGUCUGAUGUGAAAGCCCACGGCUCAACCGUGGAGGGUCAUUGGAAACUGGAAAACUUGAGUGCAGAAGAGGAAAGUGGAAUUCCAUGUGUAGCGGUGAAAUGCGCAGAGAUAUGGAGGAACACCAGUGGCGAAGGCGACUUUCUGGUCUGUAACUGACGCUGAUGUGCGAAAGCGUGGGGAUCAAACAGGAUUAGAUACCCUGGUAGUCCACGCCGUAAACGAUGAGUGCUAAGUGUUAGGGGGUUUCCGCCCCUUAGUGCUGCAGCUAACGCAUUAAGCACUCCGCCUGGGGGGUACGACCGCAAGGUUGAAACUCAAAGGAAUUGACGGGGACCCGCACAAGCGGUGGAGCAUGUGGUUUAAUUCGAAGCAACGCGAAGAACCUUACCAAAUCUUGACAUCCUUUGACAACUCUAGAGAUAGAGCCUUCCCCUUCGGGGGACAAAGUGACAGGUGGUGCAUGGUUGUCGUCAGCUCGUGUCGUGAGAUGUUGGGUUAAGUCCCGCAACGAGCGCAACCCUUAAGCUUAGUUGCCAUCAUUAAGUUGGGCACUCUAAGUUGACUGCCGGUGACAAACCGGAGGAAGGUGGGGAUGACGUCAAAUCAUCAUGCCCCUUAUGAUUUGGGCUACACACGUGCUACAAUGGACAAUACAAAGGGCAGCGAAACCGCGAGGUCAAGCAAAUCCCAUAAAGUUGUUCUCAGUUCGGAUUGUAGUCUGCAACUCGACUACAUGAAGCUGGAAUCGCUAGUAAUCGUAGAUCAGCAUGCUACGGUGAAUACGUCCCCGGGUCU